ACAAAUAUAGUUUAAAUAGGUAAAAUGUUAAUUUUCCAUAUUAAAGAUGUGGAUUCAAAUUCCAUUAUUUGUA
RNAcentral lists this transfer RNA (73 nucleotides) under Plasmodium hylobati. RNAcentral describes it as "tRNA-Gly". It matches the Rfam family "tRNA". Rfam says of the family: Transfer RNA (tRNA) molecules are approximately 80 nucleotides in length. Their secondary structure includes four short double-helical elements and three loops (D, anti-codon, and T loops). The record is from RNAcentral. Lineage: Eukaryota; Apicomplexa; Aconoidasida; Haemosporida; Plasmodiidae.